GUUAGGCAUUACUAUUAUCAACUGUUGUUCGAAAGUGUUUCCGUGCUCUUUGACGUGCUAUCGCUCUCAAACCAAAAUCGAAGUUUUUGUAGUUAGAGUUUCGUAUUCUUUUUGACAUGGUCAGAGCUUUCUUGUGAAAAGAACUGAAGCUGAUUUGUACGUUAACUUAGUGGUUAUCUUGCAGGUAUCCGGCCUGCCCUACAGCCAUCAAUUUCUCACCAGGAGGGAAUUUUACGAUGAGAGUACCUCCCAGCCAGUCAUUAUAUUCCUCUGCUAACAACGAAGAUCUCCUUACUUGGGUUUUGGGUCUUUUAGGUGUGUCAAAUGAACUUUGAGCUUUCAAGCCUGAGACGCAUUUAAAUAAGGACUAGAAAAUCAACGUCUAAGAUCAAAGCAAGGAAUUUUUCUGAGAUGUUUCACUCCACUGGGGUCUCAAUCUCGAGACUUCUGUAACUGAAAGUUGACGACCUAGUCCUACCAAUACCGUUAAAUCGUUACCCGUCCAGGAAGUAUCCUCCCCGGAAGUGAACUCCAGUCGAAUAGGUAUGCUUAUAUUGUAGAUUACAUCGAACCCACACAUUAUAGUCAAAAUUUUGCCACCAGUGUUUUCAUGUUUCGGCUUCCCUUGUGAAAAUACUUGCUGAGUAUCAAGACGAAAAGAGGGUAUACCUAUAUCCAUAAAAGUUUUACAAAUUAUUACCUAUGUAUUCUGUUAAUCAUUCGUCGUAAAGUUAAAGCGUUGCAAAUUACAGUUAAGUAGGUACUGAAGUUCUUUUUUGUCGUGAGAUUUAUGAGCCGUUAUGUUUUACUAUUUGAUGCUUUGGAUUAUGUCCCACUUGUGGGUUUAAAAGUGAUUCUGAAUUUUCCGAAUUUUUAAUUUAAUCGAAACCUACUUGAUUUUCUUGCUUAAUAUUUACCGAACCAUCAUGUUUUACUACUUCAUUCUUUGGCUCAUACUUACCCCACUUGUGGGUUUGAGAUAGAGCGAGAAUUCUCCGCUGCAAGUACCUAGUUUUAAAAACCAGUUUAAACGCUGUUUAUUUUCUCUUUUUUAAUUAUGAGUUUCUGAGUCAUCAUGUUUUACUAUUUGGUGCUUUUGAUUAUGUCCCACUUGUGGGUUUAAAAGUGAUUCCGAAUUUUCCAAAUUUUUAAUUCAAUCGAAAACCUACUUAAUUUUCUUGCUGAAUAAUUUCCGAGCGAUCAUGUUUUACUAUUUCAUUCUUUGGCUCAUACCCCACUUGUGGGUUUGAGAUAGAGCGAUAACUCUCCGCUGCAUGUAAAUUUAAAAACCAGUUUACCAAUACUCCUUUUUUUUCUCUUAUUUAAUUAUGAGCUUCUGAGUCAUCAUGUUUUACUAUUUGAUGCUUUUGAUUAUGUCCCACUUGUGGGUUUAAAAGUGAUUCCGAAUUUUCCAAAUUUUUAAUUCAAUCGAAAACCUACUUAAUUUUCUUGCUGAAUAAUUUCCGAGCGAUCAUGUUUUACUAUUUCAUUCUUUGGCUCAUACCCCACUUGUGGGUUUGAGAUAGAGCGAUAACUCUCCGCUGCAAGUAAAUUUAAAAACCAGUUUAAACUCCUUUUUUUUUCUCUUAUUUAAUUAUGAGCUUCUGAGUCAUCAUGUUUUACUAUUUGAUGCUUUUGAUUAUGUCCCACUUGUGGGUUUAAAAGUGAUUCCGAAUUUUCCAAAUUUUUAAUUCAAUCGAAAACCUACUUAAUUUUCUUGCUGAAUAAUUUCCGAGCGAUCAUGUUUUACUAUUUCAUUCUUUGGCUCAUACCCCACUUGUGGGUUUGAGAUAGAGCGAUAACUCUCCGCUGCAAGUAAAUUUAAAAACCAGUUUAAACUCCUUUUUUUUCUCUUAUUUAAUUAUGAGUUUCUGAUUCAUCAUGUUUUACUAUUUGAUGCUGGAUUAUGUCCCAUUUGUGGGUUUAAAAAGCGAUUCCGAAUUUUCCAAA
Molecule: non-coding RNA, 1950 nt
Organism: Bemisia tabaci
Lineage: Eukaryota; Metazoa; Arthropoda; Insecta; Hemiptera; Aleyrodidae
Source: RefSeq, a predicted model, not a curated record